RNAcentral lists this transfer RNA (75 nucleotides) under Haloferacaceae archaeon. Its description in RNAcentral is "tRNA-Glu". It matches the Rfam family "tRNA". From Rfam's summary of the family: Transfer RNA (tRNA) molecules are approximately 80 nucleotides in length. Their secondary structure includes four short double-helical elements and three loops (D, anti-codon, and T loops). Further hydrogen bonds mediate the characteristic L-shaped molecular structure. tRNAs have two regions of fundamental functional importance: the anti-codon, which is responsible for specific mRNA codon recognition, and the 3' end, to which the tRNAs corresponding amino acid is attached (by aminoacyl-tRNA synthetases). tRNAs cope with the degeneracy of the genetic code in two manners: having more than one tRNA (with a specific anti-codon) for a particular amino acid; and 'wobble' base-pairing, i.e. permitting non-standard base-pairing at the 3rd anti-codon position. RNAcentral also lists the same sequence under 1 other name. The record is from RNAcentral. Lineage: Archaea; Methanobacteriati; Methanobacteriota; Halobacteria; Halobacteriales; Haloferacaceae.
GCUCGGUUGGUGUAGUCCGGCCAAUCAUGAAAGCCUUUCGAGCUUUCGACAUGGGUUCAAAUCCCAUACCGAGCA